Molecule: non-coding RNA, 825 nt
Organism: Lactuca sativa (garden lettuce)
Lineage: Eukaryota; Viridiplantae; Streptophyta; Magnoliopsida; Asterales; Asteraceae
Source: RefSeq, a predicted model, not a curated record
UGCCAUCCAUACCCUUCACCGCCUCUCUCUUCACCCUGCUUCGCACCCCCGGUCACGUUAUCUUCCCUCCUACUCCAACGUCUCUACUGACGCUCAUCCCCGACACUUAGCCACCGCCUCCAUCGAGCCAACUCGGAGACUGCUCCACAGUUAUCAACCCCGGCUUCCAGAACCCAGAUUCCUUCAAACCAUUCUCUUAUCAAUUCCCCUUUCUCGCUUCCAAUAAACCGAAGAGGUAGACGCCUAUUACUCAUCUUCACACUCACCGCUUCCAACUCCUACACAACACCGACGUCUUCACGCAUUCGAGCCCUAGAUAGGACCCACGUCUACAAUCGGUUCAUAGGAUCAGAUGAAUUUUCCGUCCAUCUAUUACACAAUUGGUUGGCUUUUGUCUAUCGCUUUUGACUUCCCAUCGAUACGCAACCAGCGAUUUAGGGAUUAUUGCUCCAGGUACGUAACUGAUUUGAACUAUCUCUGCCACGCUCUACAUCUCUACCCAGUAAAUUUCCAACUCUUCUGACAAUUCUGCAUUUGCUUACGUAAAUAACUUCAUUUCGAUCCCAAAGAUUCGUUCGAAUUUUGUAGACAACUGAUAUGGUUGAGCGAUACCGAGAGGACAAAAGGCUACGCCGUUGAUUUCUUGUCAGUGUCUCUUCAUGCGGUGUCUAGGGAUCCUAAGGCAUUUACACCUCUAACACAACUGUACUUAUAUUGUUUUGGCCUGUAUUUUAUCUCGAUGUAAAAUGUAUUAUGUUUAGAUUGCACUAAAUGACUGAAGUAUUCAGUAUUUAAUUGAAAUGCAUUGUGUUGUGUUUAAGAGUA